AGAGGGAUAGCUGGGUCAAAGGGUGGUUCCAUUCCAAUUUCCAAGAAAUCUCCACACUGCUUUCCAUAUCGGCUGCACCAAUUUGCAGUCCCACCAGCAGU
Molecule: microRNA precursor, 101 nt
Filed under: Marmota monax (woodchuck)
Lineage: Eukaryota; Metazoa; Chordata; Mammalia; Rodentia; Sciuridae
Source: RNAcentral